GGGCGCCCGGUCACCUUCGGGCGCCCUGGGGGCCGGAAGUUCCGCGUCCACCCUCCCGCUCCCGGCCAGCAGGUCCUGUCCGCCAAAGACCAGGGCUGGUUCCUCUGUCUCUCGGGAGCCUGUCUCCCAGAGAAGCCGUCCACCCAGGGGCCCACCGCGGUCCCAGAGGAGCCGACCUCCAGCGUGGACCAGGGCUGCGGAGCAGGUUCUACACCCCACCUGGCGCCGCCGCCUGGUGCCCCUGUGCGCUCACCUGGUUGGGCUGGGAGAUCUGAGGACCCCGGGCUGGAGGCAUCGAGGCCAGGGCGACCCUGAAUCCCCGUGUUGAAUAGUUUCUGCACCUAUCUGAGCCCGUGUGGCCCUCGUCACCACAGAGUUUUGGCCCUACACCGGCGCACGGCUUCUAGGUCUGCUCAGUCGGACCCGAGUUCCCCGAGAACGCACGCAGCACCCCAGCCAGAGCUUGUCUCAAUGCAGGGUCUGGCACGCAGGGCUCUCUGAGUGUUAGCUGUGGGCACCAUGAAGGAAUUCCCUUGAAAGUCCCCCAAAGGAUUGCUGGUGCUGGCUUGCGCUCUGCAACCACUCCUUGAGAGGGCGCCAUCGCUUUCCUUGCUGUCACGCUCCUUGAGCUCCCGGCCACCUCGACCUCUCCACCUCUCCACCUCUUCAUCUUCCCUCACAAGGCGGAGCUGUCACUCAUCAGCCCCAUUCCUGACCAUCCUUGUUGCCAUACCAGGAAGCACUGGAAAACAGGGGCUCCCCUCCCCCGCUGCUGUCCGCCCAAGAAAGGACGAGAGUCUGGUUGAUGCUGAAAACCAAUUCCCCUUUUAGAAGCCGGUUGCAGGAAAUAAAUUAAGUGACAGGACUGGCUGCCCAGGAUGGUGGAACCACAGGGAAGGGGGAGCUGGUGUGGACCAGAGCUGGCAAAAGCUUGCUUUACGAACACAUGAAUGAACAAAUGGCAUCCCUGCCCCUGCUCACUCAGAGAAGCCUGCCACUGGCCCUGGUCAGUGGAGGUCCAUACUGACUCUGUGCAUCCGCAGGGAUCCAAUCAGGGUAGCCGGAUCCUUGUGUAUCUAACAUUGUUGGUGCCUGACCCCACUUAAGGGAAAUGCCCCUGAUGCCAAAGACACCACGUACACCACAGA
Long non-coding RNA from Marmota monax (woodchuck), 1148 nucleotides. RefSeq lists it as uncharacterized. NCBI's taxonomy places the organism in Eukaryota, Metazoa, Chordata, Mammalia, Rodentia, Sciuridae. The record is from RefSeq and is a predicted model, not a curated record. The transcript is spliced from 3 exons.